CUAACUAAAUGUCUGAAACCAACCGCUUAUGGCAUACAAUUGAGUCAUAUCAAAUUUGUCCUUUCACUGAUACAUCAAUUUUGUGAAAAAAGAGAAGCAAAAAUAACUAAUGAAUAUUGCAUGAGAGACUCUAACAUAACCCAAUUAACGCACUAUUCCCAUGUGCUAGCACAAGUACUGCCAAGGAAAUCCUGGUGGAAUCCAUUAACAUGAAUUGCUACAAACUAUAAUUUAUAUAUCUUGAAUUUUUUAUCCUUUAGAGCGUGUCCAUUGUUGGUGCUAAAGGGAAGGAAUGUCCUCUUUUGGCAAGCUUGAAAACUAUAGGCCAUCAACAUGUCCUAAUGUUCAACUAUAAAUUGUAAUGAAUAAAGGCAGACCUCCAACUAUUCAUAUUAGACUAGUAGUCUAAAAAUAUCGAUAUCCGUGGCUCUGAAUCCUGAAUUUUCAUCUAUUUAUGCUCUUAUAUA
This 467-nucleotide unclassified non-coding RNA is filed under the name Hevea brasiliensis (rubber tree). Lineage: Eukaryota; Viridiplantae; Streptophyta; Magnoliopsida; Malpighiales; Euphorbiaceae. The record is from RNAcentral.